AACCAUGCACCGAAGCUGCGGCAGCGAACGUAUCACCCAAGACAACUUUACGGAGUUGACGAUUGACGGAGCGAAGCGACGUCAAAGCGUUCAUUAAAGUCGAGUUGGCUUAGGGAUACGUUCGUUGGGUAGGGGAGCGUUCUGUAAGCCUGUGAAGGUGUGUCGUGAGGCAUGCUGGAGGUAUCAGAAGUGCGAAUGCUGACAUAAGUAACGAUAAAGCGGGUGAAAAGCCCGCUCGCCGGAAGACCAAGGGUUCCUGUCCAACGUUAAUCGGGGCAGGGUGAGUCGACCCCUAAGGCGAGGCCGAAAGGCGUAGUCGAUGGGAAACGGGUUAAUAUUCCCGUACUUGGUGUUACUGCGAAGGGGGGACGGAGAAGGCUAUGUUGGCCGGGCGACGGUUGUCCCGGUUUAAGCGUGUAGGUGUGUGUUCCAGGUAAAUCCGGUUCACUUUAACACUGAGGCGUGACGACGAGGCACUACGGUGCUGAAGCAACAAAUGCCCUGCUUCCAGGAAAAGCCUCUAAGCAUCAGGUAACAUCAAAUCGUACCCCAAACCGACACAGGUGGUCAGGUAGAGAAUACCAAGGCGCUUGAGAGAACUCGGGUGAAGGAACUAGGCAAAAUGGUGCCGUAACUUCGGGAGAAGGCACGCUGACACGUAGGUGAAGUGAUUUACUCAUGGAGCUGAAGUCAGUCGAAGAUACCAGCUGGCUGCAACUGUUUAUUAAAAACACAGCACUGUGCAAACACGAAAGUGGACGUAUACGGUGUGACGCCUGCCCGGUGCCGGAAGGUUAAUUGAUGGGGUCAGCGCAAGCGAAGCUCCUGAUCGAAGCCCCGGUAAACGGCGGCCGUAACUAUAACGGUCCUAAGGUAGCGAAAUUCCUUGUCGGGUAAGUUCCGACCUGCACGAAUGGCGUAAUGAUGGCCAGGCUGUCUCCACCCGAGACUCAGUGAAAUUGAACUCGCUGUGAAGAUGCAGUGUACCCGCGGCAAGACGGAAAGACCCCGUGAACCUUUACUAUAGCUUGACACUGAACAUUGAGCCUUGAUGUGUAGGAUAGGUGGGAGGCUUUGAAGUGUGGACGCCAGUCUGCAUGGAGCCGACCUUGAAAUACCACCCUUUAAUGUUUGAUGUUCUAACGUGGACCCGUAAUCCGGGUUGCGGACAGUGUCUGGUGGGUAGUUUGACUGGGGCGGUCUCCUCCUAAAGAGUAACGGAGGAGCACGAAGGUUGGCUAAUCCUGGUCGGACAUCAGGAGGUUAGUGCAAUGGCAUAAGCCAGCUUGACUGCGAGCGUGACGGCGCGAGCAGGUGCGAAAG
This 1323-nucleotide ribosomal RNA is filed under the name Salmonella enterica subsp. enterica serovar Typhimurium. Its description in RNAcentral is "partial 23S ribosomal RNA". It matches the Rfam family "Bacterial large subunit ribosomal RNA", at positions 1185 to 2405 of the family's 2925-position model. Lineage: Bacteria; Pseudomonadati; Pseudomonadota; Gammaproteobacteria; Enterobacterales; Enterobacteriaceae. The record is from RNAcentral.